RNAcentral lists this transfer RNA (115 nucleotides) under Bacteroides sp. RNAcentral describes it as "tRNA-Lys". Lineage: Bacteria; Pseudomonadati; Bacteroidota; Bacteroidia; Bacteroidales; Bacteroidaceae. The record is from RNAcentral.
ACCCUGUAGCUCAGUUGGUUGCAGCGAAAAGAUGAGCAAAGCGAGUCUUUCCGCUGCCGCAGAGAGCAAAUGACUCUUAAUCAUUGGGUCGAGAGUUCGAGCCUCUCCGGGGUCA